Aegilops tauschii subsp. strangulata is the source of this 474-nucleotide long non-coding RNA. RefSeq lists it as uncharacterized. The record is from RefSeq and is a predicted model, not a curated record. NCBI's taxonomy places the organism in Eukaryota, Viridiplantae, Streptophyta, Magnoliopsida, Poales, Poaceae.
AAUUAGGGCUGGGGGUGUGGGUUAGCCCGUUUCUGAAACACCGGGGGUGAUGUGGACUUCUUUCGAGUCCAUCACCGAGUCUCUCUAUCGCCGGAGCCCCGCGGAAGAAAAAUAAUCUCUCGCCGGGGAGGGGCCAAGCACAGCCCCGCCCCUCCCCGCCGUCGACGCUUCUCGAGACCCUUGUGACGGCGAGGAUUUCUGGGCCAGGCACGGCGACCCUUCGCCGGAGCUCGCAGGAGCGCAGCAGCCUUGGUACUGGAUCGGAUCUCGCGAGAUGUUUUUAGACGUGGCGGAACAGAGAGGAGAGGGCACUUCUCUUCUUCUUCAGAUGUGCGGCUCAGCCAAAAUUUGUGUCGGGUCAGAUGUUUGGUGAUACGGCCAGUAAGUCCUUGGACAUCAGAAAUGGUAUGCGUCAGUGGCGCCUUGAUUUGUGAGAUCAUGUCUGUGAGAAGCCUCCACAUAUCUGGAUCUCGA